GAUCUACCUACGAGAUGGGGACUAUUAGAAAUAGUAGCUAAUACCGAAAGUCAAUUAAUUUGUUUGAUGAAAGGAAGCCUUAGCUUCGCUUGUAGAGUCUGCGUCUUAUUAGCUAGUUGGGGUAAAUGCCUACCAAGGCGAGUAACCGGCCUGAGAGGGACGGUCACACUGGAACUGAGAUACGGUCCAGACUCCUACGGGAGGCAGCAGCUAAGAAUCUUCCGCAAUGGGCGAAAGCCUGACGGAGCGACACUGCGUGAAAGAAGGUCGAAAGAUUGUAAAAUUCUUUUAAUGAGGAAUAAGCUUUGUAGGAAACAAAGUGAUGACGUUAAUUUAAUAAGCCCCGGCUUACGUGCCAGCAGCCGCGGUAAUACGGGGGCGAGCGUUGUUCGGGAUUAU
RNAcentral lists this ribosomal RNA (399 nucleotides) under Borreliella garinii. RNAcentral describes it as "bacterial SSU rRNA". It matches the Rfam family "Bacterial small subunit ribosomal RNA", at positions 123 to 554 of the family's 1533-position model. The record is from RNAcentral. Lineage: Bacteria; Pseudomonadati; Spirochaetota; Spirochaetia; Spirochaetales; Borreliaceae.